Molecule: ribosomal RNA, 620 nt
Filed under: uncultured bacterium
Lineage: Bacteria
Description: bacterial SSU rRNA
Rfam family: Bacterial small subunit ribosomal RNA
Source: RNAcentral
CCUACGGGAGGCAGCAGUAGGGAAUCUUCCGCAAUGGGCGAAAGCCUGACGGAGCAACGCCGCGUGAGUGAUGAAGGUCUUCGGAUCGUAAAACUCUGUUAUUAGGGAAGAACAAAUGUGUAAGUAACUAUGCACGUCUUGACGGUACCUAAUCAGAAAGCCACGGCUAACUACGUGCCAGCAGCCGCGGUAAUACGUAGGUGGCAAGCGUUAUCCGGAAUUAUUGGGCGUAAAGCGCGCGUAGGCGGUUUUUUAAGUCUGAUGUGAAAGCCCACGGCUCAACCGUGGAGGGUCAUUGGAAACUGGAAAACUUGAGUGCAGAAGAGGAAAGUGGAAUUCCAUGUGUAGCGGUGAAAUGCGCAGAGAUAUGGAGGAACACCAGUGGCGAAGGCGACUUUCUGGUCUGUAACUGACGCUGAUGUGCGAAAGCGUGGGGAUCAAACAGGAUUAGAUACCCUGGUAGUCCACGCCGUAAACGAUGAGUGCUAAGUGUUAGGGGGUUUCCGCCCCUUAGUGCUGCAGCUAACGCAUUAAGCACUCCGCCUGGGGAGUACGACCGCAAGGUUGAAACUCAAAGAUAGUAGCGNGNGAGAGCGACGACGACGACGAGGAGGAGGNGG